Molecule: non-coding RNA, 369 nt
Organism: Sorex araneus (European shrew)
Lineage: Eukaryota; Metazoa; Chordata; Mammalia; Eulipotyphla; Soricidae
Source: the annotation of a RefSeq genome assembly
AUGAGGGCCCCUGUGCAGCUCCUCAGCUUCCUGCUUCUCUGGCUCCAGGGUGCCAGGUGUGAUAUCCAUAUGAGCCAGCCUCCAUCCGUGCCUGCAGCUCUGGGAGAGAAAGUCACCAUCACCUGCAAGGCCAGUCAGAGCGUUUACAGUUGGGUAGCCUGGUAUCAGCAGAAACCAGGAAAUGCCCCUAGGCUCCUGAUCUAUGAGGCAACCAAUUUACAAGCAGGCGUCCCUCCCCGGUUCAGUGGCAGUCAAUCUGGGACAGAUUUCACUCUCACCAUCAGCAGUCUGGAGCCUGAGGAUGCUGCCACUUACUACUGUCAUGAUUAUACUAGGUAUCCUCCCACAGUGAUACACAACAGAACAUAA